RNAcentral lists this unclassified non-coding RNA (842 nucleotides) under Hevea brasiliensis (rubber tree). The record is from RNAcentral. Lineage: Eukaryota; Viridiplantae; Streptophyta; Magnoliopsida; Malpighiales; Euphorbiaceae.
CUCCACAGCUAAAAUUUUGACAAUUGAAUUCUUUCGGUUUGGUCGGCAAAAUCUCUCAUACUAAGCUAUGAUCUGAGAUUCUCAAUAGAGUAAACUGAUAUGAAAUUGCACAAAGCUACAGCCACAAAAUCUAUCAAGAACUUUUAUACACCUAAAAAUAUUACACACAUUUCAACAAAAAAUUCAAAAUAGAAAAUACCCAAAUGGACUGGAUUGGACUGCCAUUGUUUUCACCUUCUCUGCCUUUCUCUCUCCCCUCAAAUCAAAUUAUAGCCCUUCAUUUCCAUCCAGGGUUGAGUCCAACCGUCCAUAAUCUUGCAGAGCCUUCAACAGCUGGGCCCCUUUCCUCCUCGCUCUUGCAGUGCAAUCCCCUUGUAACGCUAAUACCACCGCACGCGCCACCUCGUCCGGAGGUGCGUGCUGCACCUGUUCAUGCGCUGCACCACCACCGUAAAUCACAGAAAGCGCGCUUAUGGCAUAUUCUUUCCCCCUUCCCUCCAUUUCCCCCAUCUUAGCAACCAUGACAGGCAUGGCCAGCGCGUGGGCCCUCAGUUCCGCCGCCCCUUCCUCCACAGUACACGCUAGCUCCAACGCCGCUAAUGCACGCUCCGCUGUAGGCCCUUCCAGCUCCAUCGCAACUUCGACCACAGAGCCUACAGUCCCAGCUUUUACCGCCACGUGGCGGUUUUCUUCCGCCAAACAAAGAGCUAACAAAAUUUUCGUUGCCAGUUUCGCACCCGCCUUGUUUUUCAAAUUUACCACCACCCCGCGCAUAACUUCGAGCGGGCAAACCGGCUCAGUUGGCGGGUUGGGAACUAGUGAGCGUUCUAAUAGGUGAAGAG